RNAcentral lists this ribosomal RNA (529 nucleotides) under uncultured bacterium. RNAcentral describes it as "bacterial SSU rRNA". It matches the Rfam family "Bacterial small subunit ribosomal RNA", at positions 8 to 526 of the family's 1533-position model. The record is from RNAcentral.
AGAGUUUGAUCAUGGCUCAGAUUGAACGCUGGCGGCAGGCCUAACACAUGCAAGUCGAGCGGCAGCGGAAAGUAGCUUGCUACUUUGCCGGCGAGCGGCGGACGGGUGAGUAAUGUAUGGGGAUCUGCCUGAUGGAGGGGGAUAACUACUGGAAACGGUAGCUAAUACCGCAUAAUGUCUUCGGACCAAAGCGGGGGACCUCCGGGCCUCGCGCCAUCAGAUGAACCCAUAUGGGAUUAGCUAGUAGGUAAGGUAACGGCUUACCUAGGCGACGAUCCCUAGCUGGUCUGAGAGGAUGAUCAGCCACACUGGGACUGAGACACGGCCCAGACUCCUACGGGAGGCAGCAGUGGGGAAUAUUGCACAAUGGGCGCAAGCCUGAUGCAGCCAUGCCGCGUGUAUGAAGAAGGCCUUCGGGUUGUAAAGUACUUUCAGCGGGGAGGAAGGUGUUGAGGUUAAUAACCUCAGCAAUUGACGUUACCCGCAGAAGAAGCACCGGCUAACUCCGUGCCAGCAGCCGCGGUAAUAC